This 406-nucleotide ribosomal RNA is filed under the name uncultured bacterium. RNAcentral's name for it is "partial 16S ribosomal RNA". It matches the Rfam family "Bacterial small subunit ribosomal RNA", at positions 30 to 526 of the family's 1533-position model. The record is from RNAcentral.
AUUGAACGCUGGCGGCAGGCCUAACACAUGCAAGUCGAGCGAGCGGCGGACGGGUGAGUAAUGUCUGGGAAACUGCCUGAUGGAGGGGGAUAACUACUGGAAACGGUAGCUAAUACCGCAUACCAUCGGAUGUGCCCAGUUGGGAUUAGCUAGGAGGUGGGGUAACGGCUCACCUAGGCGACGAUCCCUAGCUGGGCUGAGAGGAUGACCAGCCAACCUGGAACGGAUAAACGGUCCAUACUCCUACGGUAGGCAGCAGUGGGGAAUAUUGCACAAUGGGCGCAAUCCUGAUGCAGCCAUGCCGCGUGUAUGAAGAAGGCCUUCGGGUUGUAAAGUACUUUCAGCGGGGAGGCGUUACCCGCAGAAGAAGCACCGGCUAACUCCGUGCCAGCAGCCGCGGUAAUAC